Molecule: RNA transcript, 5953 nt
Organism: Corvus hawaiiensis (hawaiian crow)
Lineage: Eukaryota; Metazoa; Chordata; Aves; Passeriformes; Corvidae
Gene name: sodium/hydrogen exchanger 2-like
Exons: 13
Source: RefSeq, a predicted model, not a curated record
CGCCCCCACCAGUGCCGGUAUCUCCAGCAGCGCUUCCAACCUUCCAACCGCUCACCCACCGCAGCGGGAGCAGCCAGCGACUUCCAGGGACAUGGAGAGCCAAGGACACAGAGCUGCAUCUGUCCUGGCUGGCUCCUGGCUCUCCUGCAUCCUCCAAGCCCCCAGGGUGGGAGCCCUGCAGGAGCCAGACAUGAUCCUGGAGAACAUCAGCUGGGCUGCCGAGGAAGCCCAGGGCAACGACUCCUCGGAGCACGCGUUCUUCUCUCUGGAUUACCAGCACGUCCAGGUGCCCUUUGAAAUCACGCUCUGGAUCAUGCUGGCAUCCUUGGCUAAGAUAGGGUUCCAUCUCUACAACAAGCUGCCUUCUGUCGUUCCUGAAAGCUGUUUGUUGAUAUUUGUGGGACUCAUCAUGGGGGGAAUCAUCUAUGGAUUAAAUGAUAGAUCACCACCAGUGAUGGACAGCGACAUCUUUUUCCUCUACCUCCUGCCCCCCAUCGUGCUGGACGCCGGCUACUUCAUGCCCAGCCGCCCCUUUUUCGAGAACAUCGGCACCAUCCUGCUCUACGCGGUGGUGGGCACCAUCUGGAACGUGUUUGGGAUUGGCUUUUCCCUGUAUGGGAUCUGCCAGGUGAAAGCCUUCCAGCUGCAGGACGUGUCCCUGCUGCACAACCUCCUGUUCGGCAGCCUCAUUGCCGCCGUGGACCCCGUGGCCGUGCUGGCCGUCUUUGAGGAGAUUCACGUCAACGAGAAGCUGCACAUCCUGGUUUUUGGGGAAUCGCUCCUCAACGACGCUGUGACCGUGGUGCUCUACAAGCUCUUCCGCUCUUUCUGUGAGAUGCCGACCAUCAAAAGUGUGGAUGUUUUUGCCGGAGUUGGAAAAUUCUUUGUGGUUGGGCUGGGAGGAGUUUUAGUGGGGCUGAGUUUUGGGUUCACCGCCGCCUUCACCACGCGCUUCACCAAGGACAUCCGCGUCAUCGAGCCCCUCUUCGUGUUCCUGUACAGCUACCUGUCCUACCUCACUGCAGAGAUGUUCCACCUCUCUGGGAUCGUGGCCAUCAUUUCCUGUGCCAUGGGCAUGAAGCGUUACGUGGAGGCCAACAUCUCCCUCAAAUCCCACACCACAGUUAAGUACUUCAUGAAGAUGUGGAGCAGCGUGAGCGACACCCUCAUCUUCAUCUUCCUUGGAGUUUCCACCAUCGGAGAAAACCACGAGUGGAACUGGCCCUACAUUUGCUUCACGGUCAUUUUCUGUCUCAUUUGGAGAGCACUUGGGGUUCUGGUGCUGACUUUCUUUGUGAACAGAUUUCACGUGAACACCAUCACCAGUAAGGACCAGUUCAUCAUUGCCUACGGGGGGCUCCGAGGGGCCAUUUGCUUCUCUUUGGUUUUCCUGCUGCCUGACUUCCACAGGAAAAAGCUCUUCAUUGCAGCAACAACUGUUGUCAUCCUCUUCACCGUGUUCAUACAGGGAAUGACCAUCCGUCCCCUUGUUGACCUGUUGGCUGUCAAGAGGAAAAGGGAGAGUGCUCCCACCGUGGGAGAGCAGAUCCACAUUCGGUUCUUGGAUCAUUUGCUGGCUGGCAUUGAAGAUAUAUCUGGACACUGGGGACAGUAUUACUGGAAAGACAAAUUGGAGUAUUUCAACAGCAAAUACCUGCAGAAGAUCCUGCUCAGGGAGUACGACCAGCCCAAGUCCAGCAUCGUGCUGCUCUACGAGAAGCUGGAGCGCAAACACGCCAUCGAGCUGGCCCAGGCCGGGCAGCUGGGCCACGGCCCAGCCCACCCCUCCUUUCUCAGCAGCGACAGGACUGUCAUAACAGACCAAAAAUUGGAUGACACUCCAAAUCCCAAUGUCCUGGACAACAUAGAGGAAAUAUUGGCGAGGAACCUGUACCGGAUCAGGAGGAUGGGCCCGGCGUACAACAGGCACACCCUGCCUGGGGACAGCGAGCCCACGGAGCAGGCCAAGGAGAUCCUGAUCCUGCGGCACAAGAGCCUGCUGGUGGAAGUGAGCGGGAGCGACACCUGCAGCUCCAGGAAGGAGUCCCAGAAGGAGGACUCAUGUUCGGCGCAGGGCGAGGCCACCCCGCAGCCCAAGCUCUGCCGCUCCUUCACUGUGGGGAACACAGAGAAGGCUCGGGAAGGGAAGGAGAGCCGAUCCAAGUCCGUGUGUGCCAUCCCACCGCCCCAGCCCACCGGCGUGACCGUGGGGAGGAAAGACGUGAGGAAAGAGCUGACUCUGGAGAUGUACAAACACAAGGGAUGCUCUGGCUCCCCAUGAGGGGUCUGGCUCCUUCACGGAGGGCUGCUCGAUGUGUAGAUAAUGUAAAUAAGAUGCAUGUUGGAAAGGACAGCAUGAACAGGGUGGAAUAUUCAGAGUGGUUUGCGUGGAAAAUUGCUCUUAUUGCCCAGGGCUGGGUUUUUAGUGGGAACUGAGGGAAAAGAUGUCCAGCUGAGCACCAGCAAUGCCAGGGAAUGGCUGAGGGAGCAUUUCUAAAGAAUUUCUAGGAAAAAUUAGCCUGUUCAGUCUGGGAGAAUUGCUGAAACUGCCUACAACUGCAAGGAAGGAUGUUUUAAUAAGGUGAGAUACGGGAUCUUCUUGUUAGUUUUCAGGGACAGGCUAAACAGCAGGGAGCAUUUGGAUUAUAGGUUGGGAAGAACUUGAUAAUCUCAAAUGAGGUUUUAUUAGGGGAUGGAGGAAAGAGCAGAAACAGCAACAGAUCUUUUCUGUUCCUGGGGAACGGAUGGAUCCUGGUUAUGAACUUUAAUCUCAUGAAGCCCAAAAUUAAAUGGCGUGGUUAAAUAAGGGGUUGUGUCUUACCUGAGGGAUUGUCCCACACCCAGCCACAGUUCUGCUAAUGAAAAAUUAUUGCAGCUGAGCUCAAAGGGAGAAAUAUGUUCUUACUGAUUUUUAAAAAUUUAUGGAAGGAAUGGUUCACCUCAAAGUUAAAAUGAAGAAGCUCCAAAUCCAGUGGUGAUACCAGGAGAUGAGGGUGACAGCCCUUAAAUAGAUGGGAAAGUUUUCUGAUGUGAUUGGUUGGUUGCAUCAAUGCUGUAAAGAUAUUUUGGGGUGAUCUGUGCUGCCAUAGCUGGGAGCUGUGGGAUCAAAGGGGUUUGAAAGUGCCAAGAGGGUGACCCAAACCCUGGCUGCUUCUCCCAGGAAAGGUGUGAGCCCUUUGCACAGCAGAUGCAGGUAAACUCCAGGGAUAGGACCUGAGGAAGACACAUAAUCCCAGCCUUGGGUAAUUUUCUUUGAAACUCCUGGUACGUUCAAGCCUUUGAAUUCUUGUCCUUACUGAACCUGACAGGACAAGUUUUAGUUUUGCAUUGACAUUUUUCUUUCUCUCCUUCCUCUGAUCCAAGAGUGUUUAAUCUGAGCAAGUGGCUCUUUUUGAAAUGGCAUUGAAAGAAGCUGUAGGAAUUCACAGGCUCCCCUCCAUGAUAUUUUUGGGCUCACAGAACCAGUCUCCUGUGUGCAGAAAUACUCCCUUAGGAGGCUCUUACAUGGUACAUUGGGGCUUCCAUUUUAAAUUAAAGGCACAAAUUUGUGUGUAUUUGCUUUGCAAUGAUCCGAGGUCUCAUUUUCUUCUGAACAAACACCUUUACAGUGUCCUGGCAUAGGCUGAGGUGGUUCAUGUUGACUUGAAGGUCACUCUGUCACUGGAAAUUCACCUCAUUGCAAAGGAAAAUUGGAGCUUUUAGCAAUAGAUGUGUGUUUUAUGUGUUUAUAUACAUAUAUGUACAUAUGUAUUGAUUUUAAUAUAGGCUCGUUGUCUUCUUCAGUUAAUUGAUUACAAUUUUGGUUUGUUUCCUAGUUGAAUCCAUCAUGCAUGGGAGCCAUGUGGAUUUGGCUGUACUUGGUUUAGAACACAGCCCAUCUUCGAUAAACAUUCAUAGGAGGAUUUAACUAAGGUGGGUAAUUUUUAUUCUGUAGUGGGAGAGCAAAAAGGAAAUUAAAUCAACUUGCUUGUCGAGGAGUUUUUAAUCAAGGAUAGAAACUGUGAUUGGCUAAUUCUUGCUUGGGUUUUGUUUGGUGUUUUUUUGGCUGUUUUGUUUUGGUUUUAUGCUUUUGCAUCUGAACUGUGGGUUUUUUUGUCCAAAAUACCUGGAUGUCUGUACCAUCUUUGUCUUGCUUCCAUCCUUGUCAUCUUUGUACAGCAGCCAUCAUUUUUCUGGGCAUCAGGCACUUAAAUAAGGAGCUUUUUCCAAUUGAGAUUCCCAUUAGUUCUCUGCAAUAUCAUUAUGGGUUAUCAAGGACCUUAUAAAAUGGUGGCUUUUUUGGCAGGGGUAGAUUUCUUUGUAAUACUGUUGCAGACAACAGAAGUGGCUGGAAAAAUGCCAGAAAACGGAAUGGAAAUUUUAUCUGAUGUGGGAAAAAAAGGUAAAAAAAAUUCCUUGCAUUUUUUUGAAAUGGUACAUUUUCAUCUCAGUUCAGCACGAGGGAUGUUUCCAUGCCAGGAUCUCCCAGUUUCUGGCAAUUCCAAAGGCUGCUGGCUCCAGGUGUGCAGUGGCUGCAGAGGCUGCUCCUGCCAGCCCCACAUUCCCAUGCACAGGCACUGGCUGGAUCCUUCACGGAUCCCAGUCCAUCAUUCCCUUCCAGCCCCACUUUGAGUGCUGGACCCAUCAAUACCUCCCUGCUUCAUGAAUAAUUUGCUUGAUCUGCAGAGAGUACAAUAUUCCCUGCAGGACAUUUUUUCCCAAUGAGUCACUCUGCCCUAAAUUUAACCUUCUGGAUACUGUGGAUUUUUUCUUAAAAUUUCUUUACAAAAUAUAAUAGCCCAGCUAAAGCUUUUAUGAAGUAUUUUCCAGUCACUUAGUGGCCAAGCCCUCUGACUAGUUUGUAUUUCAGCCCAGAGUACCUUUGAUAAUCUUUGCCAGUAUCCAGUGUUGGUGGUCUUAAAAUUAUACAACCGAGUGGAAAACUGUUAAGUGCUCAGGCUUCAGAGCGUGCCUAAUUAAUUCUUUCCAGGGUUUUAGUCCUUUAAAAAGUGUUAAAAACAUGGAUUCAGUGUAUCAUUGAAUAUUGCAUGGUUCUGUGGAAAUAAAUUGCAUCAGUUUGAUUCCUUUAGGAGUUCAGAGAGUUUUUGCUCUGUGCUUACUCUGGAAGUUUACAGGAGUAUGUGGAAAGUUCAGGUUAAAAUGGGCAAAAGUUGUUAAUGAGGGGGAGUAGCUCAAUGGCAAAGUUAGAGCCCAAAAACCACAUCAGAAAACUCUGUGCAAAGACAUCAAUCAGCUGCAUUUGAAAAUCAGGCAAAAUCUCCCUUGUACCCACAACUCCAAAAGCACUUCCUUAUGUGAACUUUAAUAUUUUUAUUUUGAGCAGAAAACCACACUUGUGUUUAUUUUAUUUCAUGACUGCUUAAGGAGAUUAUAAUGACUUAAUCCUGGAAAGAGCUGGCAGAGCUUGAGAAGCAGGUGAGGCAAAUUUGAGCUUUUUUCUCUCCUGACAUCAAGUCCUGGAGGGGAUUCAGCCUCAGAAGAACCAUUAAGGGUCUUUCAACAUCCAGGCUUAUGUGCUUCUUCCAAGAGACGUGGAGACGGGAGAGAUGAAAAGGGAGCAUGUGAUGGAGAUGAACUGGAGAUUUUCAUUUUAAUGCAGAAUUAAAGGGGCAAAUGUCAACAUGGGUAUCUAUUGCUCCCCCUUCCAGCACAGCUCAGACUGGGGGAUUGCUCUUGGUGAAACCAUCGGGGACGUUGGUGGCUUUAUCAAGGUAAAGCUGGCAGUGCUUGGGUGCUCUUGUUGUGAUCUGGUUUGCUUUGCUGUCCUUGGGUGUCUUGUGCUGAGGUCUGGGGAGAAAACAGUAAAAGAAGAGACUCGAAAGAGAUUCACUCGCCCACCUCAGGAAACGCCAUGUGGAAGGAAUAUCUUUUGGAGCAGGACAGAUCAUAGAACCAUGGAAUCGUUUAGUUUGGAAAAGACCUUUAAAAACACGGAGCCCAACCAUUCCCCCAG